UACUAGAGUAGCACUCGCAUAUCAAUAAGCGGAGGAAAAGAAACUAACAAGGAUUCCCCUAGUAACGGCGAGUGAAGCGGGAAGAGCUCAAAUUUGAAAUCUUAAAGGGUUUCCCUUUACGAAUUGUAGUUUAAAGAAGUGUUUUCUGUUGAGGUUUUGGUAAAAGUUCUUUGGAAUAGGACAUCAUAGAGGGUGAGAAUCCCGUAUUUGACCUUUACUUUCAACUUUGUGAUACACUUUCAAAGAGUCGGAUUGUUUGGGAAUGCAGUCCAAAAUGGGUGGUAAAUUUCAUCUAAAGCUAAAUAUUGGCGAGAGACCGAUAGCGAACAAGUACCGUGAGGGAAAGAUGAAAAGAACUUUGAAAAGAGAGUUAAACAGUACGUGAAAUUGUCAGAAGGGAAGCGUUUGACACCAGUGUUGUUUUUCUGAAAAUCAAUUAAAGAACUGUUUAUGCUAAGCUGUUUAGACUUUAUCAGCUAUCUGUUUAGUUUUGAGCUUUUCUUUAAUGCACUUUUCAGUUAACAAGUCAACAUCAAUUUCUUUUGCUGUAAAAAAGCUUGAGGAGGGUGGCUUGAGAUUCGUCUUAAGUGUUUAUAGCCUCUUGCCUAUGCAGUCGGAGAGAUUGAGGUCUGCAGCGUAGAUCCUUCGGGGCUAAAUGCAUUUGUGCUAAGUUAUAGCAUUUUAUAGACAACUUGUUGACUAUGAUUUGUCUUGUAGCUUACUCGCUUAUGUUAUUUUACCUACGCUUAGGAUGUUGAUCUCUCACAGUCGAGC
This 774-nucleotide ribosomal RNA is filed under the name uncultured Neocallimastigales. Its description in RNAcentral is "partial large subunit ribosomal RNA". It matches the Rfam family "Eukaryotic large subunit ribosomal RNA", at positions 20 to 645 of the family's 3401-position model. The record is from RNAcentral. Lineage: Eukaryota; Fungi; Neocallimastigomycota; Neocallimastigomycetes; Neocallimastigales.